AUCUAAUAAAUAAAUAGUUUAUCAAUGAAAACAUUUAAUUAAUUUCUUAUCUAUCUACCAUAAUUAUGCAGAUAAAAUAACGUAUAAAGAAAUUCGAACAUAACGACAGAGUCAUUUUUCUCAAGGACUUUUUUGACGGUCAAGAUGAAGCUCACGGGCACUGUGGGUAGAGCAUGGGGAAACAUUGGCCAUGUCAACAGGAUGGUCAAGUUUGGAACUUCGCCGUAUGAAACGAGAGCAUUUCCCUCAAUCAUGCAAAAGCCAUACAGUGUAUUUCUCCGGUUUAGGAGACAAACCUUGCUUGUUAUUCCCCCUCUAUACCUUACGUAUAUGGCAUACAAAUACCUGCAAGUGGAGAGUCACAGAUUUCGCAGCAAGGAUCCCGCCGAGUUUGCAAAUGACCAAUAGACUAUUGACACUCCUCAUACACUCUGCUAAUUGGUCAAGUGAAAAUCACCAUACAUGUGACAUGGCACUUCGUGUUUAUAUUCCAUCAGAAAAGUUGAAAAAAAAAUUUCAUUGUGUUAAAGCACUAUUUUAUUGAUGUAAGGUAAAUUAUGUAAAGAAAAUCUCUUGUUAAAAUGAUGUGAAGUGAAGAGUCUUAUCUAUUGGAGUGUAUUUAUUUGAAUUCAAAAUUUAGUUGUGAUAUAAAUAAAAUAUACAAAAAAACAAGACUUGUUUCCAAUUGCUGGUUUAUAAUACUUGUCAAGAACAGAAAAUUGUAAACAGUAAUACAUUAAACUGUACAGCAUUAUGGCAGUACUCAACAUUCAUUAAAAUCCACAAAGACAAA
Mya arenaria is the source of this 793-nucleotide RNA transcript. It is a transcript of the gene named cytochrome b-c1 complex subunit 8-like, with no coding region annotated. The record is from RefSeq and is a predicted model, not a curated record. The transcript has 3 exons. NCBI's taxonomy places the organism in Eukaryota, Metazoa, Mollusca, Bivalvia, Myida, Myidae.